Long non-coding RNA from Papaver somniferum (opium poppy), 1060 nucleotides. RefSeq lists it as uncharacterized. Lineage: Eukaryota; Viridiplantae; Streptophyta; Magnoliopsida; Ranunculales; Papaveraceae. The transcript is spliced from 3 exons. The record is from RefSeq and is a predicted model, not a curated record.
AGAGAUUGGAAACCUAAAAUAUUAACCUAGCUAAUCAUCCAUCUCCGCCUCCAUCAAAACUAUAAAUGAGACUAUGAUGAGUAAUUUUCCUGUUUAUGCAACAAAUUCUUAUUCAACUAGGUCGAAGUUCAAAUGUUCAAAACGUUUCGAAACCAGAAACCUCCUCCUGUUAGCAAUCAAGAAGAAAACUCAUGGAGGCAUGUAUGGUAUGAGGUAACUUCUGCUUUUCGUACCAUAAUGAGAAGCUAAUAGAUGACAAGCAUGCGCUUCAGGACUUUGGCAUACGUAAUAAUUCACAGGUACAAAAAUACUGAUAUUUUCAUGAUAACUCCUUAGGAUUACUGUUAUGGGUGUUCUUUAGGAAAUUUACUGAUUUUUAAGCUUAUUGAUGGUAAAUGGAGAACUUGUAAAUGCAAGCAUAAGAGUUUUUUUGAUGGAUUUGGCUCCUCCUGGUUGCACUUUAUCAGUACUUAUGGCAAGUAACUUAGGGAACCAUGUUGGUUGACUUGCUUGCCAUUUUAUUUUUUAUAGAUAUACUGAUAAAUAUAUGUAGCGGCUUGGGUUUUAUGUAUUGUUCAAACUUUUUAGACUGUUGUGGUAGGAUAUUCAUCACAGGGUUGCACAUCUAGGAGAACUAUUUGUUGUUUGCUUGUUGUCUUUGGUGACCUAGCAACAGUGCAGGACUUUAUGCAAUGAUACAAGAGCAGGCCGAAAAAAUUCAAGCUCAAGUAGACCAAAGAUGCGCCAAGAAUAAGGUUAUCAGAAUGUUGAAAGAAGAAAACGGAAAGUUUACAAGAAACAUACAAAAGUUGAUGCAUACUCUCGGGCUAAACAACGUUACCGCUAAUGGAACAACUGAAAGUUGAAUGCUAUGCCACAAGUCACUUGUCACAUUAAUGUUUUAGUCUAGUAUCUUUUUUUACUAAUAGCGGUGUUUAUUUAUUUAUUGGUAGAGUAUAUUUAUCAGAUUUUUUUGGUUUGGAUCUUGUUUAAAAAAUUUAUUUGACUGGGUUAAUUAUUUUUUGUUCAACUAAUAUUAUUAAUUUAAAUAUUUAUUUGU